Marchantia polymorpha subsp. ruderalis is the source of this 100-nucleotide non-coding RNA. Lineage: Eukaryota; Viridiplantae; Streptophyta; Marchantiopsida; Marchantiales; Marchantiaceae. The record is from the annotation of a GenBank genome assembly.
UUGGUUUUCUAGUAUGAUGUUUGCUGAUUUUACAUCUCUUGUUUAUACACAUGUGUAUCCUCGGAAUGUAAAAUCCACAGACAUCAUUCUAAAUAAUCAA